UUAGAAGCUGCCGGAUCCUGGAAGGACUCAGGAGCCCUUGGCCCACAGAGCAGGCCAUGCGGACCCUCAGUUGGAAGCACACCCUGGGCCUGGUGACCAUGGAUGUGGAGCUGGCCGACCGCACGCUGUCUGUGGCGGUCACCCCGGUACAGGCGGUGAUCUUGCUGUAUUUUCAGGACCAAGCCUGUGCCCAGGCUGCCCAGCGUCCCGGUGACUCUGCACGCAGCCAGCUGGACCCUGGAGGAACUGAGCAAGGCGGUGAAGAUGCCCGUGGCGCUGCUGCGGCGGCGGAUGUCCGUGUGGCUGCAGCAGGGUGUGCUGCGUGAGGAGCCCCCCGGCACCUUCUCUGUCAUUGAGGAGGAGCGGCCUCAGGACCGGGACAACAUGGUGCUCAUCGACAGUGACGACGAGAGCGACUCCCGCAUGGCCUCCCAGGCCGACCAGAAGGAGGAAGAGCUGCU
RNAcentral lists this long non-coding RNA (461 nucleotides) under Pan troglodytes (chimpanzee). RNAcentral's name for it is "long non-coding RNA NONPTRT018014". Lineage: Eukaryota; Metazoa; Chordata; Mammalia; Primates; Hominidae. The record is from RNAcentral.